Molecule: ribosomal RNA, 459 nt
Filed under: uncultured bacterium
Lineage: Bacteria
Description: partial 16S ribosomal RNA
Rfam family: Bacterial small subunit ribosomal RNA
Source: RNAcentral
GAUGAACGCUGGCGGUAUGCCUAAUACAUGCAAGUCGUGCGGAAAGGCCCUUCGGGGUACUCGAGCGGCGGACGGCAGAGUAACGCGUAGGAACGUACCCUAAAGUGAGGAAUAACUGCUCGAAAGAGUAGCUAAUGCCGCAUGUGGUCUUCGGACUAAAGCCUUCGGGCGCUUUGGGAACGGCCUGCGUUCGAUUAGCUAGUUGGUGAGGUAAAUGCUCACCAAGGCGACGAUCGAUAGCUGGUCUGAGAGGAUGAUCAGCCUGACUGGAACUGAGACACGGUCCAGACUCCUACGGGAGGCAGCAGUAGGGAAUUUUCCACAAUGGGCGAAAGCCUGAUGGAGCAAUACCGCGUGCAGGAUGAAGGCCUUCGGGUCGUAAACAGCUUUUAUGUGCGAAGAAUUUGACGGUAACACAUGAAUAAGGAUCGGCUAACUACGUGCCAGCCGCCGCGGUAA